RNAcentral lists this ribosomal RNA (488 nucleotides) under uncultured bacterium. RNAcentral's name for it is "partial 16S ribosomal RNA". It matches the Rfam family "Bacterial small subunit ribosomal RNA", at positions 28 to 507 of the family's 1533-position model. The record is from RNAcentral.
GACGAACGCUGGCGGCGUGCUUAACACAUGCAAGUCGAACGGAAAGGCCCUGCUUUUGUGGGGUGCUCGAGUGGCGAACGGGUGAGUAACACGUGAGUAACCUGCACUUGACUUUGGGAUAACUUCAGGAAAAUGGGGCUAAUACCGGAUAGGAGCUCCUGCUGCAUGGUGGGGGUUGGAAAGUUUCGGCGGUUGGGGAUGGACUAGGGGCUUAUCAGCUUGAUGGUGAGGUAGCGGCUUACAAAGGCUAUGAAGGGUACCCGACCUGAGAGGGUGAUCGGCCACACGGGAACUGAGGCACGGUCCAGAGGCGUAAGGGAGGCAGAAGUAGGGAAGCUUCCGCAACGGGCGAAAGACUGAAGGAGCACCGCCGCGUGAGUGAUGGAGGUCUUCGGAUCGUAAAACGCGGUUAUGAGGGAAGAAAACAUGUGUAAGUAACUGUGCACAUCUUGACGGUACCUAAUCAGAAAGCCACGGCUAACUACGUG